Molecule: long non-coding RNA, 207 nt
Filed under: Elaeis guineensis (African oil palm)
Lineage: Eukaryota; Viridiplantae; Streptophyta; Magnoliopsida; Arecales; Arecaceae
Description: long non-coding RNA (EGUI_LNC016435)
Source: RNAcentral
CUAGACUCAAUGCUCUUAAUACAGUGGUUUCUACUUAUCAUUUAUUAGUCUGAUUUUCAAUAAGGAAUGGUGCCGAAGAAAUGCAAGGAGAUCAAAUGCUUACUAAGUGUACUUCUUAAUAGCUACAAACAUGAAGAAACCAAUAGAAACCUUGCCAAUUGAAGUAUCUGACCAAAAAGAUGAAAUUAAGAUCAGCAAAAACUGAGG